This is a long non-coding RNA of Acanthochromis polyacanthus (spiny chromis), 1038 nucleotides long. RefSeq lists it as uncharacterized. The transcript is spliced from 2 exons. NCBI's taxonomy places the organism in Eukaryota, Metazoa, Chordata, Actinopteri, Pomacentridae. The record is from RefSeq and is a predicted model, not a curated record.
AAUGAACAAAGUUGCACCAUUUAUCAGAAUCAGAACCUGUAAAAACAGAAAAAAUAUAAUAUUUUUAACCUUUUUCCAUCUUUGAACUAAUCAUGUGUAAUGAAUUAUUUAAUCGGGAAAAAUAACCACAUUUAUGCCGAAAAUUGUUCCAGGUUUUUUUCAGUUUUCCAGAUUCCUGCUGAUAAAUGUCGUCCUUUCGGUUUUAUUUGACAGAUCUGAUGACUUUUAGAGCCACUGCUGGGUUCAGAGGGUAAAAUCUGGUGAUUCUGAGGCUGGAUCCAGAUCGUCUUCUCCGUCCCUCUCUGGACGUCUGACCUCUGACUGAAAUGAUCUUCACUAAGACGCCUUCAGAGGAAACUGUGGACGUCUGAGUGUCUGUCUUUCUGCUGACAGAGACUCUCGAGGGUGGUUGUGUUUUAUUUAUCGUCCUCGUUGACCCUGUCAGCCUCAAAGUCUGUCAGCCAGCGACACAUUCAGCUCAGAGCAGCUUUUGAACGUCUUCAUCCUCCGUCCUGCAGCCAGACGGUUUCAUCUGAUGUGGAGAUAAAACAAGUAGCUGCAGGACUUUCUACUGCAGUGAAAAAUGAACCAACAGUGAGGAAAAACGAGACGGGAGCAAAGACAAAACGCUCAGAAUUCAGGAAUCUCAAAUAAAAAGGGAAGCUGCAUCAUAUUUCUAGCUGGCUGCAGCAGCGUCUGACUUGUGGAAAUGAAAAACGAGGCGUCGGGGAGGAUUUUCCGGGUUUCGUCGUCCUCUUUCACCUCUCCCUCGCUCUGCUCUCGGUUCUGCCUCCAGGACUUUUCCUGCUCUUCAUCCCCAGACAGUAAGAAGUCAAUCUGGCCGGAUCGAAGCUCAUCAGCGCCUCACACUCACAGUCUGCUGAUUGGGGUCAGAGUGAAAAAGGACAGCGAGCCACAGAGAGUCGAUAAUUAAGCCCUUUCCUUCUCACUCGCUUUGUUUCUGCUCAGUUCUCUGCCUUCAAAUGUGAGCUGAUUCCAUUAAGGAAGACGAGUGGAAUAAAAGAGAAAAAACCUUCA